AUUAUAUCAAGUUGUCUAGCUCCUACCACUGCACUGAGAUUAAUUACAUCAAGUUGUCCAGCUCCUACCUCUGCACUGAGAAAAAUGAUAUCAGUAUCAUUAUAGUGGAAUAUUGUUUGGCUGGCAGAAAAACCUCUCAUUGGUUGUUUACCAUCCAAACAUAUCAAACACUAACUCCAAUCUAGUGCAAACCCCCCCAGAAGAAAAAAAAAUUAAAAUGUGUUCAACAGUAGAAUGGGAGGUUACUAUGCAUUUGUUAUACAGAGUUUUAUUUUAUGUUAAAAAAAAAUUAU
This is a non-coding RNA of Biomphalaria pfeifferi, 293 nucleotides long. NCBI's taxonomy places the organism in Eukaryota, Metazoa, Mollusca, Gastropoda, Planorbidae. The record is from the annotation of a GenBank genome assembly.